GAGGGUAUAGCUCAGUGGUAGAGUGUAUGCUUAGCAUGCACGAGGUCCUGGGUUCAAUCCCCAGUACCUCCA
This 72-nucleotide transfer RNA is filed under the name Camelus bactrianus (Bactrian camel). It matches the Rfam family "tRNA". From Rfam's summary of the family: Transfer RNA (tRNA) molecules are approximately 80 nucleotides in length. RNAcentral also lists the same sequence under 2 other names. Lineage: Eukaryota; Metazoa; Chordata; Mammalia; Artiodactyla; Camelidae. The record is from Rfam by way of RNAcentral.